UGUAUGUACCGUUCGAAUAAGCAUCGGCUAAUUCCGUGCCAGCAGCCGCGGUAAUACGGAAGAUGCGAGCGUUAUCCGGAUUUAUUGGGUUUAAAGGGAGCGUAGGCCGGACUUUAAGCGUGUUGUGAAAUGUAGUCGCUCAACGGGUGCACUGCAGCGCGAACUGGAGUCCUUGAGUGCGCGGGAAGUUGGCGGAAUUUGUGGUGUAGCGGUGAAAUGCUUAGAUAUCACGAAGAACUCCGAUUGCGAAGGCAGCUGACUGUAGCGUAACUGACGCUGAUGCUCGAAAGUGCGGGUAUCGAACAGGAUUAGAUACCCUG
Molecule: ribosomal RNA, 320 nt
Filed under: uncultured bacterium
Lineage: Bacteria
Description: bacterial SSU rRNA
Rfam family: Bacterial small subunit ribosomal RNA
Source: RNAcentral